Molecule: long non-coding RNA, 1131 nt
Filed under: Cricetulus griseus (Chinese hamster)
Lineage: Eukaryota; Metazoa; Chordata; Mammalia; Rodentia; Cricetidae
Description: lncRNA (ENSCGRG00015032314.1)
Source: RNAcentral
CCAAGCUGCAAAGUCUUAGGCCAGACCAGCUGCCUGGAAGAAGCAGAAACCAGCCGAACUGCCUGCAAGAAAUUUAGACUCAGUCACUUGCCAAUGACACUUUCCAAACUGUUGGUCUGUCAAUAGGCUGUGCACUAUACCCCGGGUUUCCAGGUUUUGUGAGCUGUUACCUGUGCUGGGAUGGAUUUUGGUGAUGCAACUGUCUUUGAGUCAUUUCUGCUCCUUCAAGUAACCAACCACUCACCCAUAUUAUUCCCUUUCCGCCGACUGACCAACAAACGAAAUGAGUGAGCCUCUGCCCUUACCCAACCCCCAGCCAAACCAUCAUUCACCCCAACCUGCCCCGAUCUGGGCCUGCGCCUGCAUGCUUGGGGUAGACACGCCCAGGCAGGGAGGAGCUCCCUGAAUCUGGAAACACCCCACUCUUCCAUCCCUUUCUGCCCACCAAUCUGCAAUGAGUGAGGAGACUACCAGGAGAGGCAAGACCAUCCAGAAUUGCUGACAUUGAAUUCCUGGCCCCCACACACCACUGGGUCACAAAAGGAGAUAGAGAGACCCCACCUGCACCCACUAAAAGAAAAUAUGGGAAGAAGACAGAAUAAGAUUUCUGUCAACAACAGAAAGACCAAUAUGACACCACCAGAAUCUAGGGACUCCACUCCAGCAAGAUUUGAAAAGCCCAACACAGAGCAUGAAGAUGAGAUGGACCUCAAAAAUUAUCUCCACAAGAUGAUAGAGACCUUUAAAGAGGAAACAAGAAAAUUCCUUAAAGAAAUAGAAGAAAAAGCAAACAAAAAUUACACGAAAUGGAGGAAAAGACAAACCAAAAAUUUCAAGAAAUAAACAAAUCUCUUAAAGAAUCUAAAGAAACCCAAGAAAAAACAUCCAAACAAGUGAAGAAAGUUCUUGAAACAGUUCAAAGCAUGAAAGCUGAAAUAGACACAAUAAAGAAAACACAGAAUGAGGGAUGCUGGAAAUGGAAAGACUGGAUAAACAAUCAGGAACUAAAGAUGUGAGUAUAACCAAUAGAAUUCAAGAGAUGGAAGAGAGAAUCUCAGUUGUUGAAGACUCUCUCCAUAUCUCUUCAAUAUUCUACUUGAAUUUCUAGCUAGAGCAAUAAGACAAGAAAAG